GGAGAGAGGCGACCUCAGCCAAAGCUUCUUUCUGCAACCUCGUUUCUCUUCUGCAAAAAACGAGACCCAGAUCGAGCUUCGUCGUUCCUCUUCGGCCUUCAUCGUUCCCAGAUCGAGAUUCGUCGUUCCUCUUCGGCCUUCAUCGUUCCUAGAUCGAGCUUCGUCGUUCCUCUUCGGCCAUCGAGAUUCGUCGUUCCUCUUCGGCCUUCAUCGUUCCCAGAUCGAGCUUCGUCGUUCCUCUUCGGCCUUCGUCGUUCCCAGCUCGGAGUCUUUUCUGCUCAAGACUUCUCCUCUUUUAUUUGAACCAUAAUGUUUGGAUUGAUAAUUUUUUUUCUUCUAAUAAAACGAGAGACAGUGAGGUCUGCUUCUACUUCCGUGCUCCGUUGAAAGAGAGAGAAGGGAAACAGGGAGUUGGAGAGGAGGAAGGGAGAAGAUCAUCAAGGCCAAUAAAGGUAGCAGGAAUAUUGGAUUAAAUUUUGCACAACACCUUUUGGCUGGUGAAACAGGUUCAACGUUUUUACAUAAAUUAAACAAAAUAAAGGCUUUCCUUUUGGCUGCUGAAUGCUUUCUCACAUUCAAGUCGAAUCAAUAGUCAUUCAAGGCUUUGGGUUAUUAGAACGCUCAAUUGUUAAAUUUAUAAAUGUUGAGUUUUCAAUGUUACUCAAUUGUCAUGAUAGGGUAUUUGAAAACUAAGAAAAACAUAAAAGUGAUAGUGGGCUGGAUUACUGAUGAGGAGGAAGCACUCAAUUGUCAUGAAGAGGAGGAUUUACAUUGAGUGGUUUAUCAGUUGAGUGUUUUUAUGGUAUCAAUUUGAUGAGUACCAUGCUCAUUGAGAACAUGCCAACUAAACAACGUAGAAAAUUAUCAAAGAUAGGCAACAACUAUUGACUUCUUCACAACGAGCAGAAAAAUGGAAAACACAGAGCUGGCAAGUGAAGUGGAAGCAAU
Molecule: long non-coding RNA, 948 nt
Organism: Rosa rugosa (rugosa rose)
Lineage: Eukaryota; Viridiplantae; Streptophyta; Magnoliopsida; Rosales; Rosaceae
Exons: 3
Source: RefSeq, a predicted model, not a curated record